UUCGCAAUGCCCGAAAGGGUGACGAAGCGACGCCGCGUGCGGGAAGAAGGCCUUCGGGUUGUAAACCGCUGUCGGGAGUUAAGAAAUGCAAGGAUGUUAAUAGCAUCUUUGCUUGACUAAGGCUCCGGAGGAAGCCACGGCUAACUCUGUGCCAGCAGCCGCGGUAAUACAGAGGCGGCAAGCGUUGUUCGGAAUUAUUGGGCGUAAAGAGCACGUAGGCGGCUAUGUAAGUCGGUUGUGAAAGCCUUCCGCUCAACGGGAGAACAGCAUCCGAUACUGCAUGGCUUGAGUGCGGGAGGGGAGAGUGGAACUUCUGGUGGAGCGGUGAAAUGCGUAGAUAUCAGAAGGAACGCCGGCGGCGAAAGCGGCUCUCUGGCCCAUAACUGACGCUGAGUGUGCGAAAGCUAGGGGAGCAAACGGGAUUAGGUACCCCGGUAGUCCUAGCCGUAAACGAUGGGCACUAAGUAGAGGGGUUUU
Molecule: ribosomal RNA, 477 nt
Filed under: uncultured bacterium
Lineage: Bacteria
Description: bacterial SSU rRNA
Rfam family: Bacterial small subunit ribosomal RNA
Source: RNAcentral